RNAcentral lists this ribosomal RNA (2110 nucleotides) under Limnohabitans planktonicus. Its description in RNAcentral is "bacterial LSU rRNA". It matches the Rfam family "Bacterial large subunit ribosomal RNA", at positions 543 to 2656 of the family's 2925-position model. The record is from RNAcentral. Lineage: Bacteria; Pseudomonadati; Pseudomonadota; Betaproteobacteria; Burkholderiales; Comamonadaceae.
AUAGAUCCUGAAACCGCAUGCUUACAAAAAGUAGGAGCCUCGAAAGGGGUGACUGCGUACCUUUUGUAUAAUGGGUCAGCGACUUACAUUCAGUGGCAAGGUUAACCGAAUAGGGAAGCCGUAGAGAAAUCGAGUCCGAAUAGGGCGAUCAGUCGCUGGGUGUAGACCCGAAACCAAGUGAUCUAUCCAUGGGCAGGAUGAAGGUGCCGUAACAGGUACUGGAGGUCCGAACCGACUAAUGUUGCAAAAUUAGCGGAUGACCUGUGGAUAGGGGUGAAAGGCUAAACAAACUUGGAAAUAGCUGGUUCUCUCCGAAAACUAUUUAGGUAGUGCCUCAAGUAUUACCAUCGGGGGUAGAGCACUGUUUUGGCUAGGGGGUCAUGGCGACUUACCAAACCAAGGCAAACUCCGAAUACCGAUGAGUACAGCUUGGGAGACAGAGCACCGGGUGCUAACGUCCGGACUCAAGAGGGAAACAACCCAGACCGCCAGCUAAGGUCCCUAAAAUUGGCUAAGUGGGAAACGAAGUGGGAAGGCUAAAACAGUCAGGAUGUUGGCUUAGAAGCAGCCAUCAUUUAAAGAAAGCGUAAUAGCUCACUGAUCGAGUCGUCCUGCGCGGAAGAUGUAACGGGGCUAAGCCAGUUACCGAAGCUGCGGAUUUGCAAUUUAUUGCAAGUGGUAGGAGAGCGUUCUGUAGGCCUGUGAAGGUGGUGGUGUAAACCCUGCUGGAGGUAUCAGAAGUGCGAAUGCUGACAUGAGUAGCGUUAAAGGGGGUGAAAAGCCCCCUCGCCGUAAGCGCAAGGUUUUCUACGCAACGUUCAUCGGCGUAGAGUGAGUCGGCCCCUAAGGCGAGGCAGAGAUGCGUAGCUGAUGGGAAACAGGUCAAUAUUCCUGUACCGAUGACAAGUGCGAUGUGGGGACGGAGAAGGUUAGCUCAGCCAACUGUUGGAUAUGUUGGUUCAAGCCUGUAGUCGUGCUCGGUAGGCAAAUCCGCCGGGCUUAGAUGAGGGGUGAUAACGAGGGUGCUUGCACCUGAAGUGAGUGAUACCCUGCUUCCAGGAAAAGCCACUAAGCUUCAGCUUGUCAUUGACCGUACCGCAAACCGACACUGGUGCGCGAGAUGAGUAUUCUAAGGCGCUUGAGAGAACUCAGGAGAAGGAACUCGGCAAAUUGAUACCGUAACUUCGGGAGAAGGUAUGCCCCUAGUAGGUGAACUUGAACAAAGGGAGCCCAACGGGGUUGCAAAAAAUCGGUGGCUGCGACUGUUUAAUAAAAACACAGCACUCUGCAAACACGAAAGUGGACGUAUAGGGUGUGACGCCUGCCCGGUGCUGGAAGAUUAAAUGAUGGGGUGCAAGCUCUUGAUUGAAGUCCCAGUAAACGGCGGCCGUAACUAUAACGGUCCUAAGGUAGCGAAAUUCCUUGUCGGGUAAGUUCCGACCUGCACGAAUGGCGUAACGAUGGCCACACUGUCUCCUCCUGAGACUCAGCGAAGUUGAAAUGUUUGUGAUGAUGCAAUCUCCCCGCGGAAAGACGGAAAGACCCCAUGAACCUUUACUGUAGCUUUGUAUUGGACUUUGAACAGAUCUGUGUAGGAUAGGUGGGAGGCUUUGAAGCUGGAACGCUAGUUUCAGUGGAGCCGACGUUGAAAUACCACCCUGGUGUGUUUGAGGUUCUAACCUAGGUCCAUUAUCUGGAUCGGGGACAGUGCAUGGUAGGCAGUUUGACUGGGGCGGUCUCCUCCCAAAGCGUAACGGAGGAGUUCGAAGGUACGCUAGUUACGGUCGGACAUCGUGAUAAUAGUGCAAUGGCAUAAGCGUGCUUAACUGCGAGACUGACAAGUCGAGCAGAUACGAAAGUAGGACAUAGUGAUCCGGUGGUUCUGUAUGGAAGGGCCAUCGCUCAACGGAUAAAAGGUACUCUGGGGAUAACAGGCUGAUACCGCCCAAGAGUUCAUAUCGACGGCGGUGUUUGGCACCUCGAUGUCGGCUCAUCUCAUCCUGGGGCUGUAGCCGGUCCCAAGGGUAUGGCUGUUCGCCAUUUAAAGAGGUACGUGAGCUGGGUUUAAAACGUCGUGAGACAGUUUGGUCCCUAUCUUCCGUGGGCGCUG